RNAcentral lists this ribosomal RNA (1119 nucleotides) under uncultured bacterium. Its description in RNAcentral is "bacterial SSU rRNA". It matches the Rfam family "Bacterial small subunit ribosomal RNA", at positions 57 to 1204 of the family's 1533-position model. The record is from RNAcentral.
GCAGUCGAACGCUAUUUAUAGAGUGGCGCACGGGUGAGUAACGCGUGGGAACCUGCCUUUUUCUGCGGGAUAACGGUUGGAAACGACCGCUAAUACCGCAUACGCCCUACGGGGGAAAGGUCCGCCGGAGAAAGAGGGGCCCGCGUCUGAUUAGCUAGUUGGUAGGGUAACGGCCUACCAAGGCGACGAUCAGUAGCUGGUCUGAGAGGAUGAUCAGCCACACUGGGACUGAAACACGGCCCAGACUCCUACGGGAGGCAGCAGUGGGGAAUAUUGGACAAUGGGCGCAAGCCUGAUCCAGCCAUACCGCGUGUGUGAAGAAGGCCUUCGGGUUGUAAAGCACUUUAAGCAGGGAGAAAAAGUUAUAAGUUAAUACCUUAUAACCGUGAUGUUACCUGCAGAAUAAGCACCGGCUAAUUCCGUGCCAGCAGCCGCGGUAAUACGGAAGGUGCAAGCGUUAAUCGGAAUUACUGGGCGUAAAGCGCGCGUAGGUGGUUUGUUAAGUUGGAUGUGAAAGCCCUGGGCUCAACCUAGGAACUGCAUCCAAAACUAACUCACUAGAGUACGAUAGAGGGAGGUAGAAUUCAUAGUGUAGCGGUGGAAUGCGUAGAUAUUAUGAAGAAUACCAGUGGCGAAGGCGGCCUCCUGGAUCUGUACUGACACUGAGGUGCGAAAGCGUGGGUAGCGAACAGGAUUAGAUACCCUGGUAGUCCACGCCGUAAACGAUGACAACUAGCUGUUGGGAGACAAUGUCUUUCAGUGGCGCAGCUAACGUUUUAAGUUGUCCGCCUGGGGAGUACGGCCGCAAGGCUAAAACUCAAAUGAAUUGACGGGGACCCGCACAAGCGGUGGAGCAUGUGGUUUAAUUCGAUGCAACGCGAAAAACCUUACCUACUCUUGACAUAUUUGGAAGCUCUUGUAAUGAGAGUGUGCCUUUUGGAACCAAGAUACAGGUGCUGCAUGGCUGUCGUCAGCUCGUGUCGUGAGAUGUUCCGUUAAGUCGGAUAACGAGCGCAACCCUUACCCUUAUUUGCCAGCGAUUCGGUCGGGAACUAUAAGGGGACUGCCGGUGAUAAACCGGAGGAAGGUGAGGACGACGUCAAGUCAUCAUGGCCCUUA